GUGCUAAUAAGAAUGUUGAAAGAACACCAAAACCAACAGAAGGGUGAAGGAAAUGUUAGUCAAGAACAGUUUGUACACGCCCAUGCAGUCGAGAGGAGAACUCUAAUAAGUGUGCGGGUGUGCUGAGGCUGCUGACUCUUUGCAAGAGUGUGGUACACAGCUGGGUCGUGGUCUGGGGAGCUGCCAGUGUAGAGCCACUGCUACUUAGUAGAGUUACCAGAGGCCCAAGCAGUGAGGCUACAACCGACCAGCCUGUGACCAACAGCAGACCCGUUCCUGUUGUGUUUGGCUUCGCCCACGCAGGAAGACGAAGUUGAGCACACCCAGCUAUGACGAACUGCACUUCUGUUUAACAGUUUCCCCCCAUUUGAGCUCUUUUUAACUAUCUUAGCCUCAGUCUGGUUUUAACCCUUUGCAUGUCCAUUUUAUACAAAUAAAUUUGGAGGUUAUAUUUUG
This is a long non-coding RNA of Micropterus salmoides (largemouth bass), 456 nucleotides long. RefSeq lists it as uncharacterized. The record is from RefSeq and is a predicted model, not a curated record. The transcript has 2 exons. NCBI's taxonomy places the organism in Eukaryota, Metazoa, Chordata, Actinopteri, Centrarchiformes, Centrarchidae.